RNAcentral lists this ribosomal RNA (253 nucleotides) under uncultured bacterium. Its description in RNAcentral is "partial 16S ribosomal RNA". It matches the Rfam family "Bacterial small subunit ribosomal RNA", at positions 524 to 776 of the family's 1533-position model. The record is from RNAcentral.
UACGUAGGGGGCAAGCGUUGUCCGGAUUUAUUGGGCGUAAAGAGCGUGUAGGCGGCCUGGAAGGUCAGCUGUGAAAACUCGAGGCUCAACCUCGAGACGUCGGUUGAAACCACCUGGCUAGAGUCCGGAAGAGGAGAGUGGAAUUCCCGGUGUAGCGGUGAAAUGCGCAGAUAUCGGGAAGAACACCCGUGGCGAAGGCGGCUCUCUGGGACGGUACUGACGCUGAGACGCGAAAGCGUGGGUAGCAAACAGG